AGACCUGACGCAUAGCCGAAUGAGGCGAAUUGGAUGAUCCUAUGCUGCCGAGAAAAGCCUCUAGCGAGUUCCGAGCGGCCCGUACCCCAAACCAACUCAGGUGGUCAGGUAGAGAAUACCAAGGCGAUCGAGCGAACUGUGGUUAAGGAACUCGGCAAAAUGCCCCCGUAACUUCGGGAGAAGGGGGGCCCCUGCCGGUGAUGGAACGUGCUUCCUGAGCUGGUGUGGGCCGCAGAGACCAGUGAGAAGCGACUGUUUACUAAAAACACAGGUCCGUGCGAAGUCGUAAGACGAUGUAUACGGACUGACGCCUGCCCGGUGCUGGAACGUUAAGGGGACGGGUUAGCCGCAAGGCGAAGCUCAGAACUCAAGCGCCAGUAAACGGCGGUGGUAACUAUAACCAUCCUAAGGUAGCGAAAUUCCUUGUCGGGUAAGUUCCGACCUGCACGAAUGGCGUAACGACUUCUCAGCUGUCUCAACCACAGGCUCGGCGAAAUUGCACUACGAGUAAAGAUGCUCGUUACGCGCGGCAGGACGAAAAGACCCCGGGACCUUCACUACAGCUUGGUAUUGGUGUUCGGUUCGGUUUGUGUAGGAUAGGUGGGAGACUGUGAAGCGGUGACGCCAGUUACUGUGGAGUCGUUGUUGAAAUACCACUCUGAUCGUAUUGGAUACCUCAACCUCGGACCAUGAUCUGGUUCAGGGACAGUGCCUGGUGGGUAGUUUAACUGGGGCGGUUGCCUCCUAAAAUGUAACGGAGGCGCCCAAAGGUUCCCUCAGCCUGGUUGGCAAUCAGGUGUCGAGUGCAAGUGCACAAGGGAGCUUGACUGUGAGACUGACAAGUCGAGCAGGGACGAAAGUCGGGACUAGUGAUCCGGCACCGGCAAGUGGAAGCGGUGUCGCUCAACGGAUAAAAGGUACCCCGGGGAUAACAGGCUGAUCUUCCCCAAGAGUCCAUAUCGACGGGAUGGUUUGGCACCUCGAUGUCGGCUCGUCGCAUCCUGGGGCUGGGGGAGGUCCCAAGGGGUGGGCUGUUCGCCCAUUAAAGCG
Molecule: ribosomal RNA, 1050 nt
Filed under: Astacus astacus (noble crayfish)
Lineage: Eukaryota; Metazoa; Arthropoda; Malacostraca; Decapoda; Astacidae
Description: bacterial LSU rRNA
Rfam family: Bacterial large subunit ribosomal RNA
Source: RNAcentral